GAUGAACGCUGGCGGCGUGCCUAACACAUGCAAGUCGAACGAACCUUGGGGAACAGAUUACUUCGGUAUGAAGUUCCCCGCUGGUUAGUGGCGGACGGGUGAGUAACGCGUGGGUAACCUGCCGUAUGCAGGGGGAUAACAGUUAGAAAUGACUGCUAAUACCGCAUAAGCGCACAGUAUCGCAUGAUACAGUGUGAAAAACGAUAGUGGCAUACGAUGGACCCGCGUCUGAUUAGCUAGUUGGCGGGGUAACGGCCCACCAAGGCGACGAUCAGUAGCCGGCCUGAGAGGGUGAACGGCCACAUUGGAACUGAGACACGGUCCAAACUCCUACGGGAGGCAGCAGUGGGGGAUAUUGCACAAUGGGGGAAACCCUGAUGCAGCGACGCCGCGUGAGUGAAGAAGUAUUUCGGUAUGUAAAGCUCUAUCAGCAGGAAAGAUAAAUGACGGUACCUGACUAAGAAGCACCGGCUAAAUACGUGCCAGCAGCC
Molecule: ribosomal RNA, 491 nt
Filed under: uncultured bacterium
Lineage: Bacteria
Description: bacterial SSU rRNA
Rfam family: Bacterial small subunit ribosomal RNA
Source: RNAcentral